This 253-nucleotide ribosomal RNA is filed under the name uncultured bacterium. RNAcentral's name for it is "partial 16S ribosomal RNA". It matches the Rfam family "Bacterial small subunit ribosomal RNA", at positions 524 to 776 of the family's 1533-position model. The record is from RNAcentral.
UACGUAGGGUGCAAGCGUUGUCCGGAAUUAUUGGGCGUAAAGAGCUCGUAGGCGGUCUGUUGCGUCGGCUGUGAAAACCCGGGGCUCAACUCCGGGCCUGCAGCCGAUACGGGCAGACUAGAGUUCGGUAGGGGAGUCUGGAAUUCCUGGUGUAGCGGUGAAAUGCGCAGAUAUCAGGAGGAACACCGGUGGCGAAGGCGGGACUCUGGGCCGAUACUGACGUUGAGGAGCGAAAGCGUGGGGAGCAAACAGG